RNAcentral lists this ribosomal RNA (714 nucleotides) under Gegeneophis sp. KR-2004. RNAcentral describes it as "partial 16S ribosomal RNA". It matches the Rfam family "Bacterial large subunit ribosomal RNA", at positions 1816 to 2823 of the family's 2925-position model. Lineage: Eukaryota; Metazoa; Chordata; Amphibia; Gymnophiona; Indotyphlidae. The record is from RNAcentral.
CACCUCUAGCUAACAACAUAUAUUAGAGGCACUGCCUGCCCAGUGACUACGUUCAACGGCCGCGGUAUUCUGACCGUGCAAAGGUAGCAUAAUCACUUGUCUUUUAAAUUAAGACUAGUAUGAACGGCAACACGAAAGCCUAACUGUCUCCUUUAUCCAGUCAAUGAAAUUGAUCUUCUCGUGAAAAAGCGAGAAUACAUUAACAAGACGAGAAGACCCUAUGGAACUUUAAACACAUUAACCACUUUUUCAUUUUACCUACUAUACAAUAUAAAAAAUCUGGUAUACUGUUUUUGGUUGGGGUGACCAAGGAGAAAAAUAUAACCUCCAUGAACCACACUAAGACUAACAUAAUCAAAGUAUUAAAAUUUUAAAUUUAUGACCCAAUAAACUUGAUCAACGAACCAAGCUACCCUAGGGAUAACAGCGCAAUCUUCUCCAAGAGCCCAUAUCGCCAAGAAGGUUUACGACCUCGAUGUUGGAUCAGGAUUACCAGACAGUGCAGCCGCCGUCAAAGGUUUGUUUGUUCAACAAUUAAAAUCCUACGUGAUCUGAGUUCAGACCGGAGUAAUCCAGGUCAGUUUCUAUCUAUUCAAUAAUCCAUUUUAGUACGAAAGGACCAAAUGGAUAAAGCCAAUAUAUAAUACAAGCUUCAACAUAAUUAAUGAUUUAGACUAAAUUUAAUUAUAAAAUAUACCUCUAAAACAGAGCUUU